Molecule: ribosomal RNA, 492 nt
Filed under: uncultured bacterium
Lineage: Bacteria
Description: partial 16S ribosomal RNA
Rfam family: Bacterial small subunit ribosomal RNA
Source: RNAcentral
AGUGAACGCUGGCGGUAGGCCUAACACAUGCAAGUCGAACGGCAGCACAGUAAGAGCUUGCUCUUACGGGUGGCGAGUGGCGGACGGUUGAGGAAAACAACGGAAUCUACUUUUUCGUGGGGGAUCACGUAGGGAAACUUACGCUAAUACCGCAUACUACCUACGGGUGAAAGAAGGGGAUCUUCGGACCUUGCGCGAUUGAAUGAGCCGAUGCCGGAUUAGCUUGUUGGCGGGGGAAAUGCCCACCAAGGCGACGAUCCGUAGCUGGUCUGAGAGGAUGAUCAGCCACACUGGAACGGAGACACGGUCCAGACUCCUACGGGAGGGAGCAGUGGGGAAUAGUGGACAAUGGGCGCAAGCCUGAUCCAGCCAUACCGCGUGGGUGAAGAAGGCCCUCGGGUUGUAAAGCCCUUUUGUUGGGAAAGAAAAGCAGCAGGUUAAUACCCCGCUGUUCUGACGGUACCCAAAGAAUAAGCACCGGCUAACUUCGUG